CGCUGGCGGCGUGCCUAAUACAUGCAAGUCGAACGCUUUGUGGUUCAACUGAUUUGAAGAGCUUGCUCAGAUAUGACGAUGGACAUUGCAAAGAGUGGCGAACGGGUGAGUAACACGUGGGAAACCUACCUCUUAGCAGGGGAUAACAUUUGGAAACAGAUGCUAAUACCGUAUAACAAUGACAACCGCAUGGUUGUUAUUUAAAAGAUGGUUCUGCUAUCACUAAGAGAUGGUCCCGCGGUGCAUUAGCUAGUUGGUAAGGUAAUGGCUUACCAAGGCGAUGAUGCAUAGCCGAGUUGAGAGACUGAUCGGCCACAAUGGGACUGAGACACGGCCCAUACUCCUACGGGAGGCAGCAGUAGGGAAUCUUCCACAAUGGGCGAAAGCCUGAUGGAGCAACGCCGCGUGUGUGAUGAAGGGUUUCGGCUCGUAAAACACUGUUGUAAGAGAAGAAUGACAUUGAGAGUAACUGUUCAAUGUGUGACGGUAUCUUACCAGAAAGGAACGGCUAAAUACGUGCCAGCAGCCGCGGUAAUACGUAUGUUCCAAGCGUUAUCCGGAUUUAUUGGGCGUAAAGCGAGCGCAGACGGUUAUUUAAGUCUGAAGUGAAAGCCCUCAGCUCAACUGAGGAAUUGCUUUGGAAACUGGAUGACUUGAGUGCAGUAGAGGAAAGUGGAACUCCAUGUGUAGCGGUGAAAUGCGUAGAUAUAUGGAAGAACACCAGUGGCGAAGGCGGCUUUCUGGACUGUAACUGACGUUGAGGCUCGAAAGUGUGGGUAGCAAACAGGAUUAGAUACCCUGGUAGUCCACACCGUAAACGAUGAGUGCUAGGUGUUUGAGGGUUUCCGCCCUUAAGUGCCGCAGCUAACGCAUUAAGCACUCCGCCUGGGGAGUACGACCGCAAGGUUGAAACUCAAAGGAAUUGACGGGGACCCGCACAAGCGGUGGAGCAUGUGGUUUAAUUCGAAGCAACGCGAAGAACCUUACCAGGUCUUGACAUCCCUUGACAACUCCAGAGAUGGAGCGUUCCCUUCGGGGACAAGGUGACAGGUGGUGCAUGGUUGUCGUCAGCUCGUGUCGUGAGAUGUUGGGUUAAGUCCCGCAACGAGCGCAACCCUUAUUACUAGUUGCCAGCAUUCAGUUGGGCACUCUAGUGAGACUGCCGGUGACAAACCGGAGGAAGGUGGGGAUGACGUCAAAUCAUCAUGCCCCUUAUGACCUGGGCUACACACGUGCUACAAUGGCGUAUACAACGAGUUGCCAACCCGCGAGGGUGAGCUAAUCUCUUAAAGUACGUCUCAGUUCGGAUUGUAGGCUGCAACUCGCCUACAUGAAGUCGGAAUCGCUAGUAAUCGCGGAUCAGCACGCCGCGGUGAAUACGUUCCCGGGUCUUGUACACACCGCCCGUCACACCAUGAGAGUUUGUAACACCCAAAGCCGGUGGGGUAACCUUCGGGAGCCAGCCGUCUAAGGUGGGACAGAUGAUU
Molecule: ribosomal RNA, 1487 nt
Filed under: Weissella confusa
Lineage: Bacteria; Bacillati; Bacillota; Bacilli; Lactobacillales; Lactobacillaceae
Description: 16S ribosomal RNA
Rfam family: Bacterial small subunit ribosomal RNA
Source: RNAcentral